GAUGAACGCUGGCGGCGUGCCUAAUACAUGCAAGUCGAACGGAGGGUCGCAAGAUCCUUAGUGGCGAACGGGUGAGUAACGCGUUGGUACCUGCCCCAAAGCGGGGGAUACCGGACCGAAAGGUCCGCUAAUACCCCAUGUGCUCAGUGAUGAGGAAAGGUGAAAAUCACUUUGGGAGGGGCCUGCGUCCCAUCAGCUAGUUGGUAAGGUAACGGCUUACCAAGGCGAUGACGGGUAGGGGACCUGAGAGGGUGGCCCCCCACAAUGGAACUGAAACACGGUCCAUACACCUACGGGUGGCAGCAGUAGGGAAUAUUGGUAAUGGGCGAAAGCCUGAACCAGCAACGCCGCGUGUGCGAUGACGGCCUCGGUUGU
Molecule: ribosomal RNA, 375 nt
Filed under: uncultured bacterium
Lineage: Bacteria
Description: bacterial SSU rRNA
Rfam family: Bacterial small subunit ribosomal RNA
Source: RNAcentral